UACAGAGGGUGCGAGCGUUAAUCGGAGUUACUGGGCGUAAAGGGCGCGUAGGUGGUUUGAUAAGUCGGAUGUGAAAGACCAGGGCUUAACCCUGGGGUUGCGUACGAAACUGUUGAACUGGAGUCGUGUAGAGGGUGGUGGAAUUUCCGGAGUAGCGGUGAAAUGCGUAGAUAUCGGAAGGAACACCGGUGGCGAAGGCGGCCACCUGGACACAGACUGACGCUGAGGCGCGAGAGCGUGGGGAGCAAACAGG
Molecule: ribosomal RNA, 253 nt
Filed under: uncultured bacterium
Lineage: Bacteria
Description: partial 16S ribosomal RNA
Rfam family: Bacterial small subunit ribosomal RNA
Source: RNAcentral